Molecule: ribosomal RNA, 216 nt
Filed under: Glomeromycotina sp.
Lineage: Eukaryota; Fungi; Glomeromycota
Description: partial small subunit ribosomal RNA
Rfam family: Eukaryotic small subunit ribosomal RNA (bases 40-216)
Source: RNAcentral
GGGUCGGUAGGUUGGUCGUGCCACCGGUACGUACUGGUCUCACUGAUUCCUCCUUCCUGAAGAACCGUAAUGCCAUUAAUUUGGUGUUGCGGGGAAACAGGACUGUUACUUUGAAAAAAUUAGAGUGUUUAAAGCAAGCUAACGCUUGAAUACAUUAGCGUGGAAUAAUGAAAUAGGACGAUCGAUCCUAUUUUGUUGGUUUCUAGGAUUGACGUA